UACGUAGGGGGCAAGCGUUGUCCGGAUUUAUUGGGCGUAAAGCGCUCGCAGGUGGCCCGAUGCGUCGUGCGUGAAAGACCCCGGCUCAACUGGGGGGUGUCGUGCGAUACGGUCGGGCUGGAGGCCAGUAGGGGGAUGCGGAAUUCCGGGUGUAGUGGUGGAAUGCGUAGAGAUCCGGAGGAACACCAGCGGCGAAGGCGGCAUCCUGGACUGGUCCUGACACUCAUGAGCGAAAGCGUGGGGAGCGAUCCGG
RNAcentral lists this ribosomal RNA (253 nucleotides) under uncultured bacterium. Its description in RNAcentral is "partial 16S ribosomal RNA". It matches the Rfam family "Bacterial small subunit ribosomal RNA", at positions 524 to 776 of the family's 1533-position model. The record is from RNAcentral.